Molecule: ribosomal RNA, 530 nt
Filed under: Megasphaera micronuciformis
Lineage: Bacteria; Bacillati; Bacillota; Negativicutes; Veillonellales; Veillonellaceae
Description: bacterial SSU rRNA
Rfam family: Bacterial small subunit ribosomal RNA
Source: RNAcentral
UUGGAGAGUUUGAUCCUGGCUCAGGACGAACGCUGGCGGCGUGCUUAACACAUGCAAGUCGAACGAAGAGCGAUGGAAGCUUGCUUCUAUCAAUCUUAGUGGCGAACGGGUGAGUAACGCGUAAUCAACCUGCCCUUCAGAGGGGGACAACAGUUGGAAACGACUGCUAAUACCGCAUACGAUCUGACCUCGGCAUCGAGGAUAGAUGAAAGGUGGCCUCUAUUUAUAAGCUAUCACUGAAGGAGGGGAUUGCGUCUGAUUAGCUAGUUGGAGGGGUAACGGCCCACCAAGGCGAUGAUCAGUAGCCGGUCUGAGAGGAUGAACGGCCACAUUGGGACUGAGACACGGCCCAGACUCCUACGGGAGGCAGCAGUGGGGAAUCUUCCGCAAUGGACGAAAGUCUGACGGAGCAACGCCGCGUGAGUGAUGACGGCCUUCGGGUUGUAAAGCUCUGUUAAUCGGGACGAAUGGUUCUUGUGCAAAUAGUGCGAGGAUUUGACGGUACCGGAAUAGAAAGCCACGGCUAACUA